Molecule: unclassified non-coding RNA, 337 nt
Filed under: uncultured Luellia
Lineage: Eukaryota; Fungi; Basidiomycota; Agaricomycetes; Trechisporales; Hydnodontaceae
Description: sequence contains ITS1
Rfam family: 5.8S ribosomal RNA (bases 1-106)
Source: RNAcentral
GAAACGCGAAAUGUAAUGUGAAUUGCAGAAUCACCGUGAAUCAUCGAAUUCUUGAACGCACCUUGCGCCCAUUGGUAUUCCGAUGGGCAUGCCUGUUUGAGUGUCGCGUACCUCUCAACCCCCUAUGGCAACGUAGCGCGGGCUUGGACCGUGGCCGCAUCAGGUCGGCGCAACUGAGCGUCUGACCCGGCCGAAACAUAUGCGAAGCGCCUUAGAACUGUGCGCCGCGACGACUUAGCGUUGUAGUUACCUCGCUAAAAGUCCGAGUCGGUAUGACAGUGGCUUCAAACCAUAUCUUAACGACCUCAAAUCAGGCAGGACUACCCGCUGAACUUAA